UUCCGCCUUCCGCCUUCCGCCUUCCGCUGGGGGCAUUUAUCUCCCGCUGCAGCAAGGCUGUUGUCCUUCAGUCCUGACUGGGUCUCCAUGCAAAGUAGAAGCAAAAUCUGCCGUGAGGCAAUAGUGAGACCCUUGGGUAGACAGGUUCAGACCAGGAAAAAAAUCCCAAAUGAACAUCGUAACUAACAGGACCAGGGAAUAUUUUCCAAUAAGAGACUCUAUGGAGAAGGACAUUUGAAAAGAAGUCUCAGAUGGUUUUUCAACAAGGUGAAUGGGAUUGGUGCUACAAAAGCCUAUGUGCCUUGUGGACGCCUCAUCUCUAGGACUGGAGCCUUCCUCCCACCCCAUGAGGAGGGGAACGGAAUGAUUGUGCAGGCGGAAUGGAUGCUGCGGAGGGGCCCAGGAGCUGGAUGGCUCUCAGGUGUGGAGCCCAGGGGCCUCCAUUUGAGCCUAGGGAGUCUGGACAGGAUGAGUUCAAGAGCGAAGGGAGACACUCCCAAACCACUGUGGACUCUGGCCUGAAAGAUUGAUGUGACCAUAAAGUAAAGAAGUGCUUUGUACAAUCUCCUGGAC
Long non-coding RNA from Microcebus murinus (gray mouse lemur), 573 nucleotides. RefSeq lists it as uncharacterized. The record is from RefSeq and is a predicted model, not a curated record. Lineage: Eukaryota; Metazoa; Chordata; Mammalia; Primates; Cheirogaleidae.